UUACGGGAGGCAGCAGUGGGGAAUCUUGGACAAUGGGGGCAACCCUGAUCCAGCCAUGCCGCGUGUGUGAUGAAGGUCUUCGGACUGUAAAGCACUUUUGUUUGGGAAGAAAAAAAUGACGGUACCAAACGAAUAAGCACCGGCUAACUCUGUGCCAGCAGCCGCGGUAAUACAGAGGGUGCAAGCGUUAAUCGGAUUUACUGGGCGUAAAGCGUGCGCAGGCGGUUUAAUAAGUUGGAUGUGAAAGACUCGGGCUCAACCCGAGAACGGCAUUCAAAACUGUUGAACUAGAGUAUGGGAGAGGAAAGUAGAAUUUCUGGUGUAGCAGUGAAAUGCGUAGAUAUCAGAAGGAAUGACAGUGGCGAAGGCGACUUUCUGGCCCAAUACUGACGCUCAUGCACGAAAGCGUGGGGAGCAAACGGGAUUAGAUACCCCGGUAC
This 440-nucleotide ribosomal RNA is filed under the name uncultured bacterium. Its description in RNAcentral is "bacterial SSU rRNA". It matches the Rfam family "Bacterial small subunit ribosomal RNA", at positions 339 to 793 of the family's 1533-position model. The record is from RNAcentral.